Bombus terrestris (buff-tailed bumblebee) is the source of this 3134-nucleotide long non-coding RNA. RefSeq lists it as uncharacterized. NCBI's taxonomy places the organism in Eukaryota, Metazoa, Arthropoda, Insecta, Hymenoptera, Apidae. The record is from RefSeq and is a predicted model, not a curated record. The transcript is spliced from 2 exons.
CAAUACCAGAGAGUCACUUUAUGAAGUCAGUUUUAAAACUAUUGAGUAUGGUGAAACCAAAUAAAGAAUCAAUUAAAGUUUUUGAACGAGGGAGAAAUAAUAUAAAAUAUAAAAUAGAUAGAAUCUAAGAUAGAUACUAUAAAAUAUAUACAAUAUAAAGGGACUAAACCAUCGCUUUAGAACUUCUUACUAGGCUGAUACGAGUAUCAUCCGGAAUACAUAUUAGGAAAAGGAACAAAACACUUUAUUAGAUACAUCCAGUAUCUUAAAUCCAGUAUCUUAAAAGCUCUGACAAGGAUUUUCAAAGACACAUUCGAUACACCUAUUACUAUUGUGCAUUAACUCUUAAGGUCUCAACGCUCAAGUCUCAUACUAAGAUUCAGCGAUAGAUUACCGAAGAAACCAACUGGAACUAUUAACGAUGGACCAUAUUAAUUACCUAAAAUGCAAUACGUAGAUGAAAGUCGAUACUCUGAAUUCUGUUGCACAAUAAUUUAUCAGCUAAUAAUAUUAAUGAAUUGACAAUUUCAAGCUGCAAGUUAAACUUCUUUUUCGCAACUUUGCAUUUAUAUUGAUCUUUAUGCACCUAUGGGAAAAUAGAAUGCACAUAAUAUACAAAGAUACGUAUAUACGAAUAUCCAAAGUGGAUAAAACAAUUCUGAGAUACGAUAAAAAAAUAAAUUUGCUGAAAUAUCCACUAGUUCACUAAUAACAUGUAACUUGUGAUAUCUCAUUAAUAAUAUUAACUCAAUUGUGCAAGACUUGGUACCAGUCGAGGGCCAAAGCUUUCAAGAAAAUAACAAUUUGUGGAGGUACGACACGUAAAUGCCUGUUGAAAGUAAACAUAUCGCGGACAUACGGCGGUAUGAGCACUGAAAAAGUGGAAAGAAAGUUGCCAAUGCGCCUCGCAUACCUACUGAUCCGCCGGUUGCGAACAAGUUUCGCAGUGAAUGGACCGAGCGAAUGAACUUUUCACUCACUUGCAUCCAUGGUCGGGAUUAAUCUCGACUAAUCGAAACAUCCUGAUUAACUCAGUGAUACCUGGUCGAUAAAUAAGUAUUUUCGUCGUUUCUAUCUCGAACAGAUUAUGUACUUCCAUGAACUAUUGCUUUGUCACAGUGGUGCCGACCCGUCAAUGAUACAUACGCGUUAUCGAGAUUUUAGGAUAAUUUUCGAACAUUUUACUGCGGCUUUCUAAAUCGAACGCAAUUAAUGCUUAUCGAUAUUACAAUGGCUAAUAACAUUAUUUUCAAAACAUGCUCGAUGUUUCGGCAUUCCUUGAAUUCGUCACGCAAAAGUCGCUACCUUAUAUUUGUUCGUGUGUAUUUUGUAACUGAAAAAUGAAAUUAUUCGUAAACGAUCAUAUACAAGUCACGCACAAAAAGUAGAAAUUAUGUUUGUUUUACGGAGAUCUCAUCGAUUAUCAAAUUGCGCAUAUUUAUACAAAUUCAUAUUGUUAUGAAUAUAGAUCAACAAUAGUUUUACAUACUAAAUAUUACAAAGUUAUCUCAUACAGUGGCUACGAAAAGUAUUGACUUCGAGACAUUAACUGUAUAGUUGUAUAACUAGUAUUAUUUGUAUUUGAUAUAUGUCGUAAACGCGUGAGUGGCAAAAACUACAUGAAUCCAUCCCCUUUUUUCUCAGGGUAUCGAAGGUCGUUCGAUGCAAUAUCGAUGCACGCGGAGUACGAUAAAUAUUUGCAAUUUAUGUCACGACGAUCAUAAUCAGUAUACGUAGGUAUUUCGUAGGCGUGAAUUACAGGUGAUUGCCGUGCAGUCACAGUGUACCAUAGACAUCUUCGAUGCUUUGAGCGCGUCGUUAAGGGAUUAAAAUAAUCUGGAGGUUUCAUUGGAAUUUUAUGUUCUUUUACGCAUAUUUCCGUAUAUAUUUAAUUAUUUAUAGUUACACCAAUUAUGUUUCAUCUUUAUUAUACCUUAUAAAGGAGGAGAGAAUGUAAAUUACGUAUUCGUGUUAUUAGCGGAUAAAAGAUAAGUACCGUAAAAACUUACGAAAUAACCCGUGUAAUUGCGUUUGUACAUCAACUAUCUAGCCAAUAAGAAAUUUUAGGAAUCUUUGCAAGACAUGCGAUUUAACGUGGACACAAUCUUAUUAAGAACAAUAGUAUUCAAAAUUCGAAAACAUUAUCGAUUAACGACAAACGGUGCAUUUGCUUGAGUCGAGAGAACGUCUAUCGAAAAUGUCAUGGGCGGGGAAUCUCCUUAUAAAACGGUGAAAAAAUGUUUGCUAUUCUUUCUCAUUUUUACAAUCAUUGAUCCCAUUAUUUACACCUUUUAACAAAAACAGGAUAUAUUAUUUUAUCAAAAAGAUAUAAAAAAUGUUAGUGAAAAAAAUAAGAAAGAAAUGAAGUCCCAAAACAAUGAAUCAUUGCGAUUCAUCGUUAACGCAAUGCUGAUAACGCGACAAAAAUGUUCACUACUAUUUACGAUUACAUACGAUGCAUACUUAUAUAUAUAUAUAAAGAUUAUGCACGGGGAAUCAAAAUCUUAUUAGUCUAUAAUGUUUGCAUAGUUAACAUGUUUAACGAGAAAAUCGUACGCUAUAUUUUUAUGAUGACUUCAAAGUGUCAAUUGCAUAAAAAUUUUUUCGGGGCACAAUAAUCGAGACGCAAGAUGAAUUCGUCGUCUCGUGGCUUUGCAUUGUUUACCGUACGAUUGUAUUACGUUUCGAUUUUCGAUCAAGUAAGUAUUCGAUAGAAAUAAAAUUGCAUCGAAUCUUUCCCCGUAAGUGCGUAUUACCGAGUACAUCGACCGCACAUCUUUCUCAUAAAGGAGGAAAGAUAAUAAAGUACAUCCGGUUAAAAUACAAACAUGUGUCAAUUAAUGGAAUUCGAUUGCAUGUUGUCGCGAUAGUAGGAUUUUUCUUAUUGAAGUCCGUUACCGUGACCAGGCACGAAGUAUGUAUAUAUAGAUAUAUAUGGUCGAGUGCUGAUUAUCAUCGGAGACGUAGAGCAACAGGUGUGACCACGACAGACGAUUCUUCGCGGGGAGAAAUCCACGUCGGUGUACUCGGUACAAUGACUCCACUCAAGAAAUCAUUUCCAUAAAUACCUUGACAGCAGCGUUUCACCGAGUCUGCUGAAUUCCUCUGUUCCGCAAUUUGGGAUCCGUACGGAA